RNAcentral lists this long non-coding RNA (346 nucleotides) under Gossypium raimondii (Peruvian cotton). RNAcentral describes it as "long non-coding RNA (GRAI_LNC004135)". The record is from RNAcentral. Lineage: Eukaryota; Viridiplantae; Streptophyta; Magnoliopsida; Malvales; Malvaceae.
CCGUUUGAGCUUUAGGGUUUUGUAUUAUUCGGGUUCGUAAAUUUUUAGCUUUCAGGCCUUGUAAAUGGACUUUGGACUUUAAUGGAUUUAUUAUCUUUUUUUUUGUUUUUUUUUGUUUGUAGUGGGCUGGGCAGAAUUGGCCUGUUACAGCUACCCCUUUUUGUUCAUUGUCGUGUAACGGGAAUGGAGCAAAUACUUUAAAAAGGAUCAAUUUUGUCUGGUCUUGCCGAAUCUUGACUUCUUUGAUGCUUCUCUUCUUCAAGCAGCCUCAUUCUAACCCACUACAACUUUAGGGGUAUAGGAAAUGUAAUUUCAACCUACUCCACUGCAACUUUAGGGAGAUAAG